This 258-nucleotide long non-coding RNA is filed under the name Elaeis guineensis (African oil palm). Its description in RNAcentral is "long non-coding RNA (EGUI_LNC056695)". Lineage: Eukaryota; Viridiplantae; Streptophyta; Magnoliopsida; Arecales; Arecaceae. The record is from RNAcentral.
GCAGAAUAAUAAAAACAUCAAAAGUUCAGCUAAGGGAGCAAUAGAUAAUAAGACUCAACAGAUUGAUGGUGAGCAGUGCUCCAGAUAUGGCAAAAAUCAUGCAUACAAGGAUUGCCAUUGAAAUAUAGGUGCUUGUUUCAAAUGUGGUCAGAUGGAUCAUAAAAUGCUAGCUGCCCGCUAAAUACUAAAAAUCAAGUUGGCCAAAGAACUUAUGAAGGACAACAUAAGGGUGGUGGACAGAUUUCUAAAAUCCAGGGA